Molecule: ribosomal RNA, 253 nt
Filed under: uncultured bacterium
Lineage: Bacteria
Description: partial 16S ribosomal RNA
Rfam family: Bacterial small subunit ribosomal RNA
Source: RNAcentral
UACGGAGGGGGCUAGCGUUGUUCGGAAUUACUGGGCGUAAAGCGCACGUAGGCGGCGAUCUAAGUCAGAGGUGAAAGCCCGGGGCUCAACCCCGGAAUAGCCUUUGAGACUGGAUUGCUAGAAUCUUGGAGAGGCGAGUGGAAUUCCGAGUGUAGAGGUGAAAUUCGUAGAUAUUCGGAAGAACACCAGUGGCGAAGGCGGCCCGCUGGACAAGUAUUGACGCUGAGGUGCGAAAGCGUGGGGAGCAAACAGG